GAUGAACGCUGGCGGCGUGCCUAAUACAUGCAAGUCGAGCGAACGGACGAGAAGCUUGCUUCUCUGAUGUUAGCGGCGGACGGGUGAGUAACACGUGAAUAACCUACCUAUAAGACUGGGAUAACUUCGGGAAACCGGAGCUAAUACCGGAUAAUAUUUUGAACCGCAUGGUUCAAAAGUGAAAGACGGUCUUGCUGUCACUUAUAGAUGGAUCCGCGCUGCAUUAGCUAGUUGGUAAGGUAACGGCUUACCAAGGCAACGAUGCAUAGCCGACCUGAGAGGGUGAUCGGCCACACUGGAACUGAGACACGGUCCAGACUCCUACGGGAGGCAGCAGUAGGGAAUCUUCCGCAAUGGGCGGAAGCCUGACGGAGCAACGCCGCGUGAGUGAUGAAGGUCUUCGGAUCGUAAAACUCUGUUAUUAGGGAAGAACAUAUGUGUAAGUAACUGUGCACAUCUUGACGGUACCUAAUCAGAAAGCCACGGCUAACUACGUGCCAGCAGCCGCGGUAAUACGUAGGUGGCAAGCGUUAUCCGGAAUUAUUGGGCGUAAAGCGCGCGUAGGCGGUUUUUUAAGUCUGAUGUGAAAGCCCACGGCUCAACCGUGGAGGGUCAUUGGAAACUGGAAAACUUGAGUGCAGAAGAGGAAAGUGGAAUUCCAUGUGUAGCGGUGAAAUGCGCAGAGAUAUGGAGGAACACCAGUGGCGAAGGCGACUUUCUGGUCUGUAACUGACGCUGAUGUGCGAAAGCGUGGGGAUCAAACAGGAUUAGAUACCCUGGUAGUCCACGCCGUAAACGAUGAGUGCUAAGUGUUAGGGGGUUUCCGCCCCUUAGUGCUGCAGCUAACGCAUUAAGCACUCCGCCUGGGGAGUACGACCGCAAGGUUGAAACUCAAAGGAAUUGACGGGGACCCGCACAAGCGGUGGAGCAUGUGGUUUAAUUCGAAGCAACGCGAAGAACCUUACCAAAUCUUGACAUCCUUUGACAACUCUAGAGAUAGAGCCUUCCCCUUCGGGGGACAAAGUGACAGGUGGUGCAUGGUUGUCGUCAGCUCGUGUCGUGAGAUGUUGGGUUAAGUCCCGCAACGAGCGCAACCCUUAAGCUUAGUUGCCAUCAUUAAGUUGGGCACUCUAAGUUGACUGCCGGUGACAAACCGGAGGAAGGUGGGGAUGACGUCAAAUCAUCAUGCCCCUUAUGAUUUGGGCUACACACGUGCUACAAUGGACAAUACAAAGGGCAGCGAAACCGCGAGGUCAAGCAAAUCCCAUAAAGUUGUUCUCAGUUCGGAUUGUAGUCUGCAACUCGACUACAUGAAGCUGGAAUCGCUAGUAAUCGUAGAUCAGCAUGCUACGGUGAAUACGUUCCCGGGUCU
RNAcentral lists this ribosomal RNA (1372 nucleotides) under uncultured bacterium. RNAcentral's name for it is "bacterial SSU rRNA". It matches the Rfam family "Bacterial small subunit ribosomal RNA", at positions 28 to 1381 of the family's 1533-position model. The record is from RNAcentral.